UACGAAGGGGGCUAGCGUUGCUCGGAAUCACUGGGCGUAAAGGGUGCGUAGGCGGGUUCUUAAGUCAGAGGUGAAAUCCUGGAGCUCAACUCCAGAACUGCCUUUGAUACUGAGAGUCUUGAGUUCGGGAGAGGUGAGUGGAACUGCGAGUGUAGAGGUGAAAUUCGUAGAUAUUCGCAAGAACACCAGUGGCGAAGGCGACUUCCUGGCCUGUUCUUGACGCUGAGGCGCGAAAGCUAGGGGAGCAAACGGG
Molecule: ribosomal RNA, 253 nt
Filed under: uncultured bacterium
Lineage: Bacteria
Description: partial 16S ribosomal RNA
Rfam family: Bacterial small subunit ribosomal RNA
Source: RNAcentral